Molecule: unclassified non-coding RNA, 298 nt
Filed under: uncultured fungus
Lineage: Eukaryota; Fungi
Description: sequence contains ITS2
Rfam family: 5.8S ribosomal RNA (bases 1-52)
Source: RNAcentral
AACGCACCUUGCGCUCCUUGGUAUUCCGAGGAGCAUGCCUGUUUGAGUGUCAUGAAAUUCUCAACCUUUCCUAGUAAUAAGGUUAGGCUUGGAUCAUGGAAGUUGCUGAUUUUGUUCAAGUCAGCUCCUCUAAAAUACAUUUGCAAAGUUCUUUAUUCAUUAUCUUUGAUAUGAUAACUAUCUAUAUCGUUGAUAAUAUAAGUAGUUCCUAUAUGGAAGUUCUUUGUUUUUAAUGUUCCCAUGGAACAACUUGACAACUUUUGACCUCAAAUCAGGUAGGACUACCCGCUGAACUUAA